AGUGGACCGUGAUGAUGACGAAGCCCUGGACCGAGUUGAAGACUGCAAAGAGGACCUGGAAGAGGAUGGAGCGCCGGUCGGUCAUGGCGAGCACAGCCGACAUCCAGGCUCAUUAUAGGAAAUGCAAGAAAACAGGGAGAAUGUUCCUGGCAAUAUAAUCGGGAGAAGACACUGUGAAGGGGAAGCGGAUGGAACCAAGUGGCGCCUAUUGCCAGUUUGCCAAACAUCACCUGAAGGUUUGUUUCCACCAGUGCAUUUUGUCUUUUGCAUAGUCCCUCACUCCCCAAAUUGUUGAGGGUCCUGAUUUUGAUCUUGCAAGAAAGCGCAGCCCACCAGGCAAGGCUCCUGCACAAGGCUUGUCAAGGGCAGGACAGACAGAACUAUAAGUAAGGAUGCCAGAGAAUCCAGUCGUAAAUGGAAAUGGGGACAGAAACUUCUGUAAUUCACAUGUUUUGUGCAAGGUCUGAAACAGAAACCAUGCAAGCAAAUACAAGCGGAAGUGGCUAUUGUUCUUUCUUUAGCCCGCAAAUGUUACAUAAAAAGUUACAUUCUUUUCUGCACUGUUUGUGACAUGACAUUUCCCUUCCGUUGAAAUGCAUCAGAAUUAAUUAUGUCAGUUUUGGCUAAUGCUGAUAGUGAGAAACAUAAUGUAGGUUUUAGUGGAAGCCAAACUGUAGAGGAACGGAAAUGGAGCUGAUUGCAAUGGACAGAGUCAGUCACUGACAUUGGCUGUGACUUUAAGAACUUCUGCUUGGGAUAUUUCCUCCUCCCUCCCCGUUCCCCCUUUUUCAUGUGACAUGAUGUCUUUUCAGUCUGCGAGCUGAAGGGCUGGAACCCCCU
Podarcis raffonei (Aeolian wall lizard) is the source of this 840-nucleotide long non-coding RNA. RefSeq lists it as uncharacterized. NCBI's taxonomy places the organism in Eukaryota, Metazoa, Chordata, Lepidosauria, Squamata, Lacertidae. The record is from RefSeq and is a predicted model, not a curated record. The transcript is spliced from 3 exons.